UUCCUUGGAGGAAAUCAUAUUCUUUGUUUCUGGAGAAGCAGGAACGUGUAAAGAAACAAAGUCAGCACGGUGAAGGAGUUCAGGGAGAGAAGAGAGCUGCUUGGCGGAACCCAAAGGCAUGAUAGGGAGAAUAUCGUAAUAAACGACGUGUAAACCCAUGGCUUCAGCGAGAACAGAAAGUUGGGAUCCAAUAUGACCAUAACCAAUGAUGCCCAAGGUCUUACCACGGAUCUCCCAGCAUCCACUGGACACCUUGUUCCACUCACCACGGUGCAAUUCCAAGGAGCGAUCGCCCACUUGACGAGCCAAGCUAAUGAUAUAGCCGAUGACCAAUUCAGCAACGGAACGAGAGUUGGCGUAUGGAGAGUUGAAGACGGCGAUACCACGUUCGGCAGCAAAGUCCAAAUCGACUUGGUUAGUACCGAUACAGAAGCAACCGAUGACAAUUAAACUGUCGGCAGCCUCCAAGACACGACGAGUCAAGCGGGUCUUAGAACGAAUGCCAAUAGCAUGAACGCCCUUGAUCUUCUCAACCAAAUCGUCCUCGCUCAUAGAAGUUUUCAAGAACUCAACCUGGUAGCCCUCAUCCUUCAAGUUGCUCAAAGCUG
Schizosaccharomyces pombe (fission yeast) is the source of this 608-nucleotide non-coding RNA. The record is from the annotation of a GenBank genome assembly. Lineage: Eukaryota; Fungi; Ascomycota; Schizosaccharomycetes; Schizosaccharomycetales; Schizosaccharomycetaceae.